CAGUAGGUCACAUACUACUGGGCUUGUGAAACUAAGGGUUACUUAACUAUGAAGGGGGGUGGUUGGCAACGGUAAAAGACUUCUGCUGGUGCAACAGCCAAAACAGAACCCAAAGUCAAGUGAACGAUGAGCCUGAGGUGUUCCCAGUGCUCAGUCAAGCUGCACUGCACAACUUCACUGCCGCUGUGCCUCUGAGCACAAGUAUGCACAAGUGGGUGAGUUACAUCACAGCAACCGUUCACACAGCUGGACUCAGACUUGACUAAGCCUUGCAGGAGCCAUGAAGAGGUG
RNAcentral lists this long non-coding RNA (291 nucleotides) under Cricetulus griseus (Chinese hamster). RNAcentral's name for it is "lncRNA (ENSCGRG00015041383.1)". Lineage: Eukaryota; Metazoa; Chordata; Mammalia; Rodentia; Cricetidae. The record is from RNAcentral.